This 415-nucleotide ribosomal RNA is filed under the name uncultured bacterium. RNAcentral's name for it is "bacterial SSU rRNA". It matches the Rfam family "Bacterial small subunit ribosomal RNA", at positions 402 to 809 of the family's 1533-position model. The record is from RNAcentral.
UGAGUGAAGAAGGCCCUCGGGUUGUAAAGCUCUUUUGUUGGGAAAGAAAUCCUGUUGGCUAAUACCCGGCAGGGAUGACGGUACCCAAAGAAUAAGCACCGGCUAACUUCGUGCCAGCAGCCGCGGUAAUACGAAGGGUGCAAGCGUUACUCGGAAUUACUGGGCGUAAAGCGUGCGUAGGUGGUGGUUUAAGUCUGUUGUGAAAGCCCUGGGCUCAACCUGGGAAUUGCAGUGGAUACUGGAUCACUAGAGUGUGGUAGAGGGUGGCGGAAUUCCCGGUGUAGCAGUGAAAUGCGUAGAGAUCGGGAGGAACAUCCGUGGCGAAGGCGGCCACCUGGGCCAACACUGACACUGAGGCACGAAAGCGUGGGGAGCAAACAGGAUUAGAUACCCUGGUAGUCCACGCCCUAAACGA